RNAcentral lists this transfer RNA (90 nucleotides) under Ovis aries (sheep). It matches the Rfam family "tRNA". From Rfam's summary of the family: Transfer RNA (tRNA) molecules are approximately 80 nucleotides in length. Their secondary structure includes four short double-helical elements and three loops (D, anti-codon, and T loops). Further hydrogen bonds mediate the characteristic L-shaped molecular structure. tRNAs have two regions of fundamental functional importance: the anti-codon, which is responsible for specific mRNA codon recognition, and the 3' end, to which the tRNAs corresponding amino acid is attached (by aminoacyl-tRNA synthetases). tRNAs cope with the degeneracy of the genetic code in two manners: having more than one tRNA (with a specific anti-codon) for a particular amino acid; and 'wobble' base-pairing, i.e. permitting non-standard base-pairing at the 3rd anti-codon position. Lineage: Eukaryota; Metazoa; Chordata; Mammalia; Artiodactyla; Bovidae. The record is from Rfam by way of RNAcentral.
CUUUCGAUAGCUCGCCUAGUAGAGUGGAGGACUGUAGACCCAACACUCGUGAUCAUCCUUAGGUCGCUGGUUCGAUUCCAGCUCGAAGGA